AAUCAACGCUGGCGGCGUGCCUAACACAUGCAAGUCGAACGCGAGAGGGGCUUCGGCCCCGAUUGAGUGGCGAACGGGUGAGUAACGCGUGGGUGACCUACCUUCGAGUGGGGGAUAACGUCCCGAAAGGGACGCUAAUACCGCAUAACAUCCUGCUUUUGAAUGGGUGGAGAUCAAAGCCGGGGAUCGCAAGACCUGGCGCUUGAUGAGGGGCCCGCGUCUGAUUAGCUAGUUGGGAGGUACGCCA
RNAcentral lists this ribosomal RNA (247 nucleotides) under uncultured bacterium. RNAcentral describes it as "partial 16S ribosomal RNA". It matches the Rfam family "Bacterial small subunit ribosomal RNA", at positions 32 to 266 of the family's 1533-position model. The record is from RNAcentral.